GGGUUGUGAGGUUAAGCGACUAAGCGUACACGGUGGAUGCCCUGGCAGUCAGAGGCGAUGAAGGACGUGCUAAUCUGCGAUAAGCGCCGGUAAGGUGAUAUGAACCGUUAUAACCGGCGAUUUCCGAAUGGGGAAACCCAGUGUGAUUCGUCACACUAUCAUUAACUGAAUCCAUAGGUUAAUGAGGCGAACCGGGGGAACUGAAACAUCUAAGUACCCCGAGGAAAAGAAAUCAACCGAGAUUCCCCCAGUAGCGGCGAGCGAACGGGGAGGAGCCCAGAGCCUGAAUCAGCAUGUGUGUUAGUGGAAGCGUCUGGAAAGGCGCGCGAUACAGGGUGACAGCCCCGUACACAAAAGCGCAUGUGCUGUGAGCUCGAUGAGUAGGGCGGGACACGUGGUAUCCUGUCUGAAUAUGGGGGGACCAUCCUCCAAGGCUAAAUACUCCUGACUGACCGAUAGUGAACCAGUACCGUGAGGGAAAGGCGAAAAGAACCCCGGCGAGGGGAGUGAAAAAGAACCUGAAACCGUGUACGUACAAGCAGUGGGAGCACCCUUUUGGGUGUGACUGCGUACCUUUUGUAUAAUGGGUCAGCGACUUAUAUUCUGUAGCAAGGUUAACCGCAUAGGGGAGCCGGAGGGAAACCGAGUCUUAACCGGGCGUUAAGUUGCAGGGUAUAGACCCGAAACCCGGUGAUCUAGCCAUGGGCAGGUUGAAGGUUGGGUAACACUAACUGGAGGACCGAACCGACUAAUGUUGAAAAAUUAGCGGAUGACCUGUGGCUGGGGGUGAAAGGCCAAUCAAACCGGGAGAUAGCUGGUUCUCCCCGAAAGCUAUUUAGGUAGCGCCUCGUGAAUUCAUCUCCGGGGGUAGAGCACUGUUUCGGCUAGGGGGCCAUCCCGGCUUACCAACCCGAUGCAAACUGCGAAUACCGGAGAAUGUUAUCACGGGAGACACACGGCGGGUGCUAACGUCCGUCGUGAAGAGGGAAACAACCCAGACCGCCAGCUAAGGUCCCAAAGUCAUGGUUAAGUGGGAAACGAUGUGGGAAGGCCCAGACAGCCAGGAUGUUGGCUUAGAAGCAGCCAUCAUUUAAAGAAAGCGUAAUAGCUCACUGGUCGAGUCGGCCUGCGCGGAAGAUGUAACGGGGCUAAACCAUGCACCGAAGCUGCGGCAGCGACGCUUAUGCGUUGUUGGGUAGGGGAGCGUUCUGUAAGCCUGCGAAGGUGGCCUGUGAGGGUUGCUGGAGGUAUCAGAAGUGCGAAUGCUGACAUAAGUAACGAUAAAGCGGGUGAAAAGCCCGCUCGCCGGAAGACCAAGGGUUCCUGUCCAACGUUAAUCGGGGCAGGGUGAGUCGACCCCUAAGGCGAGGCCGAAAGGCGUAGUCGAUGGGAAACGGGUUAAUAUUCCCGUACUUGGUGUUACUGCGAAGGGGGGACGGAGAAGGCUAUGUUGGCCGGGCGACGGUUGUCCCGGUUUAAGCGUGUAGGUGUGUGUUCCAGGUAAAUCCGGUUCACUUUAACACUGAGGCGUGACGACGAGGCACUACGGUGCUGAAGCAACAAAUGCCCUGCUUCCAGGAAAAGCCUCUAAGCAUCAGGUAACAUCAAAUCGUACCCCAAACCGACACAGGUGGUCAGGUAGAGAAUACCAAGGCGCUUGAGAGAACUCGGGUGAAGGAACUAGGCAAAAUGGUGCCGUAACUUCGGGAGAAGGCACGCUGACACGUAGGUGAAGUGAUUUACUCACGGAGCUGAAGUCAGUCGAAGAUACCAGCUGGCUGCAACUGUUUAUUAAAAACACAGCACUGUGCAAACACGAAAGUGGACGUAUACGGUGUGACGCCUGCCCGGUGCCGGAAGGUUAAUUGAUGGGGUCAGCGCAAGCGAAGCUCCUGAUCGAAGCCCCGGUAAACGGCGGCCGUAACUAUAACGGUCCUAAGGUAGCGAAAUUCCUUGUCGGGUAAGUUCCGACCUGCACGAAUGGCGUAAUGAUGGCCAGGCUGUCUCCACCCGAGACUCAGUGAAAUUGAACUCGCUGUGAAGAUGCAGUGUACCCGCGGCAAGACGGAAAGACCCCGUGAACCUUUACUAUAGCUUGACACUGAACAUUGAGCCUUGAUGUGUAGGAUAGGUGGGAGGCUUUGAAGCGUGGACGCCAGUCUGCGUGGAGCCGACCUUGAAAUACCACCCUUUAAUGUUUGAUGUUCUAACGUGGACCCGUGAUCCGGGUUGCGGACAGUGUCUGGUGGGUAGUUUGACUGGGGCGGUCUCCUCCUAAAGAGUAACGGAGGAGCACGAAGGUUGGCUAAUCCUGGUCGGACAUCAGGAGGUUAGUGCAAUGGCAUAAGCCAGCUUGACUGCGAGCGUGACGGCGCGAGCAGGUGCGAAAGCAGGUCAUAGUGAUCCGGUGGUUCUGAAUGGAAGGGCCAUCGCUCAACGGAUAAAAGGUACUCCGGGGAUAACAGGCUGAUACCGCCCAAGAGUUCAUAUCGACGGCGGUGUUUGGCACCUCGAUGUCGGCUCAUCACAUCCUGGGGCUGAAGUAGGUCCCAAGGGUAUGGCUGUUCGCCAUUUAAAGUGGUACGCGAGCUGGGUUUAGAACGUCGUGAGACAGUUCGGUCCCUAUCUGCCGUGGGCGCUGGAGAACUGAGGGGGGCUGCUCCUAGUACGAGAGGACCGGAGUGGACGCAUCACUGGUGUUCGGGUUGUCAUGCCAAUGGCACUGCCCGGUAGCUAAAUGCGGAAGAGAUAAGUGCUGAAAGCAUCUAAGCACGAAACUUGCCCCGAGAUGAGUUCUCCCUGAGACUUAGAGUCUCCUGAAGGAACGUUGAAGACGACGACGUUGAUAGGCCGGGUGUGUAAGCGCAGCGAUGCGUUGAGCUAACCGGUACUAAUGAACCGUGAGGCUUAACCUUACAACGCCGAAG
RNAcentral lists this ribosomal RNA (2927 nucleotides) under Salmonella enterica subsp. enterica serovar Braenderup. Its description in RNAcentral is "bacterial LSU rRNA". It matches the Rfam family "Bacterial large subunit ribosomal RNA". The record is from RNAcentral. Lineage: Bacteria; Pseudomonadati; Pseudomonadota; Gammaproteobacteria; Enterobacterales; Enterobacteriaceae. RNAcentral also lists the same sequence under 1 other name.